Oryctolagus cuniculus (rabbit) is the source of this 1173-nucleotide non-coding RNA. The record is from RefSeq and is a predicted model, not a curated record. NCBI's taxonomy places the organism in Eukaryota, Metazoa, Chordata, Mammalia, Lagomorpha, Leporidae.
UCCACUCUGCCUGCCAAAAAAAAAAAAAAAAAAAACAAAACAAAAACAAAAAAACAGUAUAUUGAAACAUUAUUCUAGAUCAUGUACAGAUAAAGCUGGAGAACAAUUAUUGUCCAAGUUAGAGUUAGUAGCAAGGUAAUUUAGGGUUAAAGUUCCAAGCAACAGUUUUUUUUUUCCCCCCAUGUUACAGGAGAAAGCGGGGGAAAAGAGUAAGGUCAGAGGCUAACCGGCAUCAGGCAUAAUCUAAAAGAACCAUUUUUUAUAAAUAUGAAGCAUUAUGUUUUCCUUCCAGUACUGUCAUAAUUGCUCAAAUGGUUUUGCUGUUUUAUAUUCAACCUCAGUUAUGUUUGAAAAAGCAUGAUUUGUUCCUCUUCAAAGAUUUUUGAAGGUUUUCAGGAUGGAUUUUAAAUAUGUUGACUUUUAUGUUCUUUUCUUCAACAACUUUAAAAGUACACUGAGGAUCAGCACUCACAGUCCCCAUGCCAAAGGAAGCAUUUGGACCUGGUGCUGUCGCUGUCUCAGGAAACUACACAGAUUCUGCAGCUCCGUCUCCUCUCUUCCUCCUGCCACCCCUCGCUUCCUCUCCGCAAGCUAAACCUCACGCAGACUUGGCACCGCCCUUCACGAUCAAGCCUGGCCUGGCUGAAAUGUCAACCUGGGAGCAGACGUGUCCUAUCAAAUCACAGGGCACUCACUGCGCUACGAGGGUUCUUCACAAAGCUCAUGAGAUGCAUGUAAUGAAGAAACUAUACAUGGAUUGCAGUAAAUUUUUUGCACUAAAAUAAACUUGUAUUUUCAUUCCAUUUCCUGCGAACUUCUUGGAAGCACCCUGGUAUAAUACGUCUUUGCUAGAGUGCCAUCUUGUUCGCACUUUAAAAGAAGGUAUGAGUAGGAUAAAUUCAGUAACAUGAAAAACCUGUCCACACAAGGCAGGGGAGAAAAGCCUCGGGGGCUGUAGACUUUUGGUAUGUUUCUCCUCACUAAGCUCUCCAUGAACUCAACACGUCUCCUCGCUCAGUUUGGGACCCCGUAGUUUAUGCCUCCAACUGCCAGGCUGCUGCCAGCGUGGCACACGUGGAAACCUACACUGAGAAAGGGCUUCCCCGUCCACCUCUGGGCAGCCUCAUUAGAACCCAAGCGAGAGAAAAGAAGAAACGUGCGCUCUUACCAUUG